AGAAAACAAACAAACCCAAAGGGAAGUGUGCCUAAGGCAGGAUAAUACGAGGAAAGGGCCGACGCACAUUUGUAACGAGGCGCGACGAUCGACUUGAAAUCAUCAGCACAGCGUCUUCUCUCUUUUGCCUUUUUGCCGUUGUAGCCGCCACCUAAGCAAGCAGCGGGAAAGCAAAGCGGCGUGCAUGUGCUCGUUCGCGGCACACCGCCCCAUCCGACUCCGCUGCAUACAAGCAAGCUGAAACGAAAAAAAAAAUAUAUAUAUAUAUACAUAUACUGUAAAAGCAGUUUGCGCGAAAUCAGGUCACACAUCGUGGACUCAAAGCAGGCGUGCGGAGGCGUUGUGUGUGGACUGUUCGUUGCAAAUUAGAGUGCUUGUGGGCCUCGUGUUCGCAGCAGCGCCUCCUUCUCCCUCUAGCUCCCUGCUGGUUUACCUGCCGUGGUCGCUUGUGUGUGCGUGCCUGUGUGAUCGCUAGAUUGUUGGACCGUAUUGGCUAUCAUUGUCGAGAAGGACCCACUAUGUCUCUCUUCGGCGCAGAUGCGGCCCCCUCGGCAGCGGCGUCUCUGCUGCCUGCGUCCCUGGACGCGUCGCAGACAGCCCGUCAGGCAGCACCUCGUUCUGGUGUAGCGUCAUCGCAGCAGCCGAGCACGUUGGGCGUGUCAUGUGCGGAUAGGACGGGCACGCAGCUCAGCGUACUUGAGUCGUUGGCGAACCUCUUCAGCUGCCGAGAGGUCAAGGCACCAAGUUUGGCAGUGGCUCUGCUCCCUCGUAUGGGAAGCUCGGCAGAUGGCGACGCGGGUGAGGACCACGUAGACGAAAGUGACUACAUAGUGGAAACACUCGCGGCAGCACCCUACUCUGUCUUGAGCGAUGCCUCCAGCAACAGCUCCAUCUCGUUGUUGCCAGGACUGAACGGCUCCGCCGUGUCUUUGCCGAUGCAGCCGUCCGUCUCAAAGCGGCAAGUGCGCUCACAUGCCUUGCACUUGCUCGAGGAGUCGCCGCAACAGCAGUCUUCGGCGCGUGAGCUCGCUUCUCUAACAAAGGUGCUGAGCGUAUUGAGCGCGAUUCUGCAGCGAUCCCGCCGAGCGCACCAGCGCUCGCGCAACUUUGGGCGCCUACUGACCUUGCUCACAGACGGGCGGUUUGCUGCGACGGCUGCAGAGCAUAUGCAGACACUUUGGCUGCGUUGCGGUGGACAUGCAUCGUCGCUUGGCGCGCAAGCCGGCGAAGACGCGGCGCUGUCCCUCUACUGCGACGUUCUGCUCCUGAUCGCGUACCACGCGAGGAUGGCGGACCCGAGCGACACGGUAUCGUCCAGCCUCGUAGUCGCCGAAGAGGCGCUGGCGUCCUUGUACGCCGUCAACAGAGACAUGGGCACCGAACUUGUCAGGGCAGCGGCGCAUCGCCCAGCCUACCUGCGUCGCAGCGUUGCCUCUCUCACCGCUUUCUGCAUUCUUCAGGCGGGUCGUCUGUCCCACAAGGUGCUUGAGGACGCGCUGCAAAACCUCGAACUCGGCGCUGCAGCACGGGCAAACAUGGCGCACAUGGCCUUCAUGGCAGCGCUCCCGACGUCAUUUCCACAGAUGACGCAGACGUGGCAGUGCCGCGCACUCGAGGUACUUCGCAAGGCCACCUUGUAUGACGCCGCUGCGGACAUUGUCAGCUGCACUGACGGUGCCGCCGCUGUCUCUGUGAUCAGGCGAAUCAGCACGUGGGUACACGGAUACGCCAUGCAGAGCCUCUUGUCAGUCAUGUCGGAGGCGGCGUGGUGCUACUGCACGGCUGAUACGCUGCUCCACAUUAGCCGUGCUGUGAGCGUGUACGGGGCAACGUGGACGGCGUACUCGGAGAGCUAUAUGAGCCUUAUCAGUUUUCUGCAUCGCGCCCUCACCCGGUACGAGUGCUCUUACGCGCAGGAGGAGUCGAUGGCGUUGAAAGUGCCGGUGCUGAGUGCUCCGAAGUCGAUCCUAGCAGGGUCGUCAAGCGCAACUCUUCCCGCUAACCGACAGGUGGGCUGGCGCUCCGCGCGAUCGGCCGCACCGUCGGUGGAGUCACUGAUGCGACACCCCGUUCUCGGUGCCGCAGGAGUGGACAACGACACGCCAGAGUCGAACCGGCAGGGAGGGCAGGAGAGUAGCACCUACUCUGCGUUUCAUCUCAGCGGUGGCUUUGCGGAAGGCGAUGGCGCGCUUAGCGACGCUGAUGGCACCCCAGAAUCCUUCCUAGCACGGUGCGAGGCGGAGACCGAUUCUCCCCGCAGCUUUGUCUUCUACCUGUCUUUGCUGGCGUACGUGACAUCGGCUCUGCCGUCGCUGCUGGGCUCUCUGGGAGAACUCCGUCUCUUCUUUUACCUACCCCACUCUCCUCGCAGUGCUGCGGUUGGCAACGGCGCCGCCUCGGACCGCGCCGCUGAGACAACAGACCCACCAGUCGCGGCGUCAGGAACGGGGCGCCACCUUUUCGCCCUGUGCAUGGAUCUCCUGCGUGCAAGCCUAGCCUCCGCCCUCGCUCACUCCGCAGACCAGUGGAGCCUGCGCGAUCGGCCAAAGCGUCUGCUCUGCGAAUCUGCGACGACGCUCUUGUGCGCCUUCAUGUGUCGAUUUCCGCAUUCGCUGCAGCAACUGGAGGCAGAGACCGGCGCCACGCAUUUGAUCGGCCUCGUGAACCAGGUGGUGACAACCAUUAUCAAGGCGCCAAGCCCUUCGCUAAGGAUGAAGCGGCUCGCGUACAGCCUGCUGCAGCGCUACGCAUCUGCCGUGGAUGCCUUAGGCGAUAUAAUGGCGCAGCUCUUGGCUCCGUCGCACUGGGCAGCGCUGCGGUUGGGCGAUGAGUACGUCGAGGCCGACCUGCGUGCUUGUGUGCAGCUCUGCCAGCAUUUGUGCCGUACCGUGUACCAACUGUCUCCUGCAGCGCCUGGCCGUCUCGUUUCGUUGCUUGCGGAACUGCCGUCAGGCGCCUUUAGUUGCUCCUCCGAUGGUGCGGCGACGGCCACCACACUGGUACACACCAUCUUCACCUUGGUGGAGGACCAUUCCGAGGACGCGGCGGUGUUUGGUGGCGUGACGGUGCCACAGCUGCCACAGCUUAUUGGUCGCCUGGGAGAGGCGCUCGACACAUUGGCGAACGCGUACGCCAGGGGAUACUGGGUGGCCGGCGGGGAGUCGACGUGGUGCUCCGUGUGUGCCACCGCCUCGCUCCUCUACAAAGCCGUGCUGCUCUACCGCGCGCCUGCGCUGGUCGCGACGACCGUCUUUCCUGCACGGUGGGGCCCCCAAGGGCGCGGCAGCGGUGGUAGCGUGAUGGCCGAGGUGUGCCAGGGUGGUGGUGGCCGUCGUUCGCGCAGCGGGGUGCACGUACUCCUGCAGCUGCUUUGCGAGGAUUCCCUGGCGCCGGUGCAUCAUGUUGUGACGGAGCUUCUCGUAGCAGCCCUGCAUGCAACCGCCCUCCAUCACACCUCGGAGUUCAUGCUCCGGACGUUCCGUUCACACCUGUCUCCGUGCGAGGUCGUCAUGGUUACCCAGCGGGUGUUGCAGGUGCAGCAGGACAGCCUGGGGUCGCCCUCGAAUGCAAUGCGAGUGGAGGUGGUGCAGGCAAUGGCCAUGUGGUGCCCGGCGCUAUUCCUCUUUCUGUUUGGGCCAGAGAAGCGUGUGGUAUGCGAGGACGACGACGCUAGUGAGGUUGCUGCACAGGGGCAAAGCUUGGGUGACGACGGCCACAGUGGCAGCGGCGGCGUUAGCCGGGCAGCGGCGCAGCCGGCAGAUCUGCCGCUCAUGCAGUUGCUGGUGGCAACGGUGCGCUCAGACAAGGCGGCCUUGUACGAGAAGGCGCUCGCGCUGAACAUCCUUCGGUACAGCGGUAUGUCAAGGCUUGUGGAGGUGCAGGAGAUUUUGUCCCUCAUGCCACGCGAGGACAUCAACGCGACAAGGACGAACCCUGGCCGCGAUGGGGGCGAGUGGGAGGAGGCGACGUUGGCGGUGGCCUGUGUGGCCUAUGUGAAUGCGAGAGUCGCGCUGGAGCUGUCCAGGUCGAGGCAGGCUAACUCAGCUGUGGACAACGCCGGCGGCGGAGAGGUGGAUGGCAGCAGCAGAGCGACCGCUUCAACUCGAGACAGCACCCCCGCUCCACCGCAGCAGCAGCGCCGGUCAACGCUGGCGCCCCCGUCGCCGUUCGCAACGGCAACAGCUCGUCCGUUGCAGGCUGCCCGUAGCAAGGUGCUCGCUGCGUACACGGAUAUCAUGGAUCAACUGCUCCGCCACGGCGCCGCCGCUAUGCAGCGUGUGCACAGCCUGUUCGAUGCGGAGCGGUGCGACGUGGACUAUGACGAACAGACGAACUGGUUGGUGCGGCAGGCGACGAGUAUGAUCUUGGGCGAAAACCCGGACGUCAGCGCCAGUGUUGUCUUUCCGCGCAGCGGCGCAACGACGGCAUCGAGACGUUUGGCAGGUGGGAGCUCUCGCGACAGCAUUGACACCCUUCUUCAUGGAGUAUCGCAGGGCAGCGUUCUGAGUCGCUGUGUUGUGCCAACGGCUCUCGCUGCUGCCACUGCUGCCCGUGCCCAUGGUGAGCUACUGAAUACGACGACCUUUUUGCAAACCCUGUCUAGCGAAAACGUCGAGGUGUUCGCGGCGUGCCAGCGGCUCUUCCCCGUGGGCACCGCCUCUACACGCUUCUUCCGCGGCACCGGUGACGAUCGCCGGCUCAACAACCUUGCCGCACAGCUGGACACAAUGGCAGACUUGGCAACUGUGCUUGAGCAGCUAUUGUGGCUCAGUGGCGUUGACACGAGCACGGCAGGCCUAUUCGUCAAGCGAACCCAACAGCUGCUCGAGUGCGCCGUUGAGUCGGUGCUGUCCUGCCAGCCGGGAUCGCCACUGUUGGCCUCAUUCCUCACGCGUCAGGUGCAGCAGCAGCUGCGUCUCGCCAAGGCGGCCGCGAGUAUCUUGGAGACGGCUGUCGGCGGCGACGCAACCGAGCUCUUCGAAAUGAGGCCGACCGCGCAGCACUCACUGCGGCGUCUGGUGGCGUUUGCCAAGGCGAAUCGCAGGAACAUGUUUGUCCUGGAGGGGGUGCUCCCAGUUGUCACUGCGUUUCCACUGGCCACGUUUGCCGCCUGCGCUGCCGUGGAGGAGUUGAUGGGGAUGGUGCAGGGUGCCCUGUACGGCAAGCUGCGGCAAUCCUCCUGGACGCCAGAGACGCUGGACGUGCUGGACAAGCUGGUGAACGGCUGCACACGCGUCUUCAGUCGGCCACGCUCUGAUAGGGGUAGCGACGCAGUGCUCGUCAGUCGCCUGCUUCCGACCUUGCUGCAGGUUGCGUCGCGCCUCGCGCGAUUUGUCCAGCCAACGCAGCCGAGCAACGCCGACACUCUCCGUUUUGUGCGCGUUGUGGAGUGCGUUACCUGUGUUAUUGCCCACUGCGGCGGGCAAACGGCGGUGUUGGGCUUCGUGGACGAGGAUGUUCUUCUCGGCUUCCUGCAGGCGAUAGGUCAGUUCUCCACCUCCUCUGUUUACGAUACGGCCGCGCAGCGGCACCUGCGUCUAGCGUGGAACGUGUGCUGGCUUGCACUCCUCUCCUUGUGGUGCACGAUUGUGUCAGUGCGCGGGCAGUACAACGCAAUCGCGUCAGGUUGGGUGCCAUCUCUAAAAGCGGCGCUGCUGAGCAGCCCGCGCUUUGCUGCUGCUCUUAGCGCCUUCGCCGGCGGGCGCGGAGGCGACCGGGGCGGGCUGCUGCUCUGGGAGGUGGAAGAGGUGGACGCGUGCACACGACUUGCCGCAGUGCUGGCGGCUCAGAACGUCCUCCUCGAGAAACUCACGCCGUGUGUUCAGGCAGGCUUUGUGUUUUUCCGCCAACCUCACUUACACCAGCAAUGCGUGGUGUCGGUGCCGAGUGCGGAGGCCGUGAUCAGUGAAGGCAGGCGGAUCACGAUCGCCCAGGCGUAUGUGCUGCGCAACGAGCUUACAAUCCUGCUGAAGCAGGCAUCCUAUGCCGUUCCCCGUGAUGGCGCCACGCUGGCAGCCUUUGUGUUUCCGUUAGAGCUGCUAGGGCAGACGGCGGAGCUGGCGAGCCCCGCCAACCUCACCGACGGCGCCGUGGCCGCCGCCUCGACAGCCACGUCGCUUGUGUACUCGCUGGACCUCUUGCGCCAGUUCACCGUGCGGGAGCUGCAGGUUCUCCGGAAGGUCACCGCCGCGACUGCACCCGGUGGCGCUGGACUCGAGCGCUCCCCGAAUGUGGGCUACACCAACCUUGCAUCGCGCGAGUCGAGCGUUACGCGGUCCCCCAGCAGGGGGCCGCUUGUCGGCGACGCUGACACCGUUACUGACGUGGAUGACUCCUUCGCAGUGGACGGCCAGGUCGACGUCGCGACAGACGUGCAAUCGGUGCAUCUCGAGACUGUGCAGCUUGCCUUGACGGCCUACGCCCUGACGGUGCAGGACUUCAUCCAAAAUGCGAGCCGCGCCCCUGGAAUGUUGUACACGGCAGCGGUGCUCCAGGGGGUGCGGCACUCCACCGAGCGCCUCGUUCGCACACUGCGAAGUCUCGUGAAGGACCUCGGCGAGGUGCGUUGGCCGCUGCUUAGUCGCGUGGUGCAAGGGCAGACUGCGCGGCUUCAGCACCUCAUCGAGUACCUGUAAAGGUUCUCUCAGGAGCGCGCCUGUGUUUCUGUGCGUUGUUUGCCGUCUGAGAGGGUGUGCGCUGCGUUGUCUUCCUCUCUUUCUUUGUCGGUGUGCCUUUGGCUCACUCCUCGUGGAGGUCUUUUCGGUAGUGGAAUGAAGAAUAAGCUCUGCGUGUGCGUGGUGGUGGGUGUGACAUGCAGGAAUGUGGCGGACUCGAGCGUGUUUGUAUGUGUGUGUGUGAGAGAGAGACGCAUCAUACCUUUCGCACACACGCACAAACGUGCAAGAGGAACAACUCAUGACUGGCCAGAGAACUUGCAAACAGGAAUGGAAAAAGGGAGACGAAGAAGGAAGACACAUCUGCGCUGCUCGGCGAGGAAAGUGCACCGCCUCAAUCCCCUGUUGCUGCAGUGGCUACGGGAAUAAAACACAAGCAGCAAGC
This 7059-nucleotide unclassified non-coding RNA is filed under the name Leishmania donovani. RNAcentral's name for it is "gene:LdHU3.36.8110(CDS-product:hypothetical_prote in_conserved)". Lineage: Eukaryota; Euglenozoa; Kinetoplastea; Trypanosomatida; Trypanosomatidae. The record is from RNAcentral.